CGGUGGUAAUAAUCGAUAAACGUGAUACGGAGUAUCAUAAUAUUCCUGAUGUCGAUUACCGUAUUUUUGCGCAUCGCAAUCAUUUUUUAAACUGGUAUUCCAAUCAAAAAUCAUCUAACACAAUGUUCGACGGAUUGAGUAAAAAUCCCCAAUGACGCAAGCUUAACGUAAGCAUUUGGUCUCGAAUACAACAGAUGGCGCCAUUGCUAAUUCAUGAAUGGCAAUAUCCUGAAUGGCUGAAAUGUCAUUCAAGAAAUAACCUAUCACGAGGAGAAACGGUUUCAGACGCUUGCCUGCAUCGAUUUGCAACCCUUUGCCUUGAGCACACAGCACGGAUUAAUGCCCUGUAAACGGAUAAAGAGAAGAUGCCCGAAGUGUAAGUGGUUC
This is a long non-coding RNA of Rhagoletis pomonella (apple maggot), 387 nucleotides long. RefSeq lists it as uncharacterized. Lineage: Eukaryota; Metazoa; Arthropoda; Insecta; Diptera; Tephritidae. The transcript has 3 exons. The record is from RefSeq and is a predicted model, not a curated record.